GUUGAGGUCUCUCCUGAUUGGCUUGUUCUGCAGACCCACAUCAUUGGAGAUGCCUCAUCGAAUAUGUUGUUUGCUCUACUCACAGAACUAUUUGUUAGGUCUGUGGAAAGAAGUAUAAGAGAGAG
Ailuropoda melanoleuca (giant panda) is the source of this 125-nucleotide small nucleolar RNA. The record is from Ensembl. NCBI's taxonomy places the organism in Eukaryota, Metazoa, Chordata, Mammalia, Carnivora, Ursidae.